Molecule: unclassified non-coding RNA, 19 nt
Filed under: Mus musculus (house mouse)
Lineage: Eukaryota; Metazoa; Chordata; Mammalia; Rodentia; Muridae
Description: oocyte_clustered_small_RNA12660
Source: RNAcentral
UUCUGCUUCUCCCGCGGCU